UAAGAUGUAAUUUACAUUUUAAGAUUAUUAACGAUAUUUAAUAGGAAAAAUAAUUUUUAAUUUAAUUGUUUAAUUUUAUUAUUAUUUAAUUUUUUUUGUGAUAGAAUAUGUAUUACCGUGUGGGAAAGUUUUAAAUAUUUGGAAAAUGCUUUUGUUUGUAGAAAAGUUAAAGUUUUGUACCUUUUGUAUCAGGGAGCAUUAAUUUUUAAUUUCUAAGAAGAAAUCUUCCCGAAAAAUAAGGAGCUAAUUUAAUUAUUAAGUGGUAGUGUCAUAUACCUUUAUAAUUUUAUUUUAGUGGUUAGAUGCUAUUCAAUUUAUUUGAUAUCUGGUUAUUAAAUAAUUACAUUUAAUGUAGCAUUAAUUUAAGUAUAUUGAAUUUUGAGGUUUAAUAUAUUAAUUAUAUGAGACGGUCUAGGGGAUUUGCUUUAGAUUGUUAUAAAUUUUUAUAAUUUUUUAGUUAUUAAUAUAUAUAAUAAUUAGCUUGAGGAUAGCUAUUUCUAAUAAUUUUGUUAAAAUUUAUUGUUGAGUAGAUAAGAUUUGAUAGAAUUUAAGUAUUUAUUUAAUUAUUAGUGUUAAUUUAUUUUAUUAAAUUAUAAUGAUGUUAUUAGUAUAUUGAGUAGAUUAAUUAAAGGAAUUAGGCAAAAACUGAAUAAAUAUAUUCUCGCCUGUUUAUCAAAAACAUGUCUUCAUGAAAAUUAAGGUUUAUAUGAGGUAUAGCCUGCCCAGUGAUAAUUUUAAAUGGCCGCGGUAUUUUGACCGUGCGAAGGUAGCAUAAUCAUUAGUCUUUUAAUUAAGGGCUGGAAUGAAUGGUUGGACGAGGAAUAUACUGUCUCUAAUUAAUUAAAUAGAAUUUUACUUUAAAGUGAAAAGGCUUUAAUAGUAUAGGGGGACGAUAAGACCCUAUAGAUCUUUAUAAAUGGUAAUAUUAUAUAUUAUAGUUGUUUAUUUUGUUGUAUUAAUAAUUUAUUGUGUUGGGGUGACAGAAAGAUAUGAAUAACUCUUUAUUUUAAUAAUUCAUUGAUGUUUGUUUAUAUAAUUAUUGAUCCAUUAUUUAUGAUUAAAAGACUAAGAUACCUUAGGGAUAACAGCGUAAUCUCUUUUGAGAGACCUUAUCGACGAAGGGGGUUGCGACCUCGAUGUUGGAUUAAGAUAUCAUUUGGGAGCAGUAUUUCAAAUUGGAGGGUCUGUUCGACCCUUAAAAUCUUACAUGAUCUGAGUUCAAACCGGCGUGAGCCAGGUUGGUUUCUAUCUCUUAUUAUAAUUUAUAUUUUAGUACGAAAGGACCAAGUAUAAGUAUUAUAUAUUGUAUUAUGAUUUUUAGUAAUUAUUA
Molecule: ribosomal RNA, 1330 nt
Filed under: Neoasterolepisma foreli
Lineage: Eukaryota; Metazoa; Arthropoda; Insecta; Zygentoma; Lepismatidae
Description: 16S ribosomal RNA
Rfam family: Bacterial large subunit ribosomal RNA (bases 859-1259)
Source: RNAcentral